AUUGAACGCUGGCGGCAUGCCUUACACAUGCAAGUCGAACGGUAGAGGGGCAACCCUUGAGAGUGGCGAACGGGUGAGUAAUACAUCGGAACGUGCCCAGUCGUGGGGGAUAACGUAGCGAAAGUUACGCUAAUACCGCAUACGGUCUACGGAUGAAAGCGGGGGACCGUAAGGCCUCGCGCGAUUGGAGCGGCCGAUGUCAGAUUAGGUAGUUGGUGAGGUAAAGGCUCACCAAGCCGACGAUCUGUAGCUGGUCUGAGAGGACGACCAGCCACACUGGGACUGAGACACGGCCCAGACUCCUACGGGAGGCAGCAGUGGGGAAUUUUGGACAAUGGGCGCAAGCCUGAUCCAGCCAUUCCGCGUGCAGGACGAAGGCCUUCGGGUUGUAAACUGCUUUUGUACGGAACGAAAAGGCUCUGGUUAAUACCUGGGGCUCAUGACGGUACCGUAAGAAUAAGCACCGGCUAACUACGUGCCAGCCGCCGCAGUAA
This 494-nucleotide ribosomal RNA is filed under the name uncultured bacterium. RNAcentral's name for it is "partial 16S ribosomal RNA". It matches the Rfam family "Bacterial small subunit ribosomal RNA", at positions 30 to 523 of the family's 1533-position model. The record is from RNAcentral.